Molecule: long non-coding RNA, 370 nt
Filed under: Dromaius novaehollandiae (emu)
Lineage: Eukaryota; Metazoa; Chordata; Aves; Casuariiformes; Dromaiidae
Description: lncRNA (ENSDNVG00000004770.1)
Source: RNAcentral
CGAAAUGUUAUUUGUUCUCUUUUUCUUCCAGAAACAAAAGGUUCCAAUUCCAAACCCCAAAUUGCAGAGGCCAGUUCUCAGCUGAUAGUGGUUUACGUUGUAUGUCUUUUAUCAGUUCCCUGACAAUGGAGCUGGUAAUUACAGUGAUCGCCCAACUAUCUUUUCAGAUUGAGUGAUCCGCACUGAUAUAAUCCUUCUUUCCCUAAAUCAGCGGCAGCAUCAUCUGGAUCAUCUGGAAUUUGUGAGGAAGGGAAGAGGAGCCUUUGCUCAGCUUGUAGAAGCUUGGAAACUGUUUCCUGGGAAUUACCUCCGCCUGCUGUCGCCCAGCCACUGCAGGACUUUGAGUUUACAGACAAGCUGCAGUAGAUGA